This 482-nucleotide ribosomal RNA is filed under the name uncultured bacterium. RNAcentral's name for it is "partial 16S ribosomal RNA". It matches the Rfam family "Bacterial small subunit ribosomal RNA", at positions 30 to 507 of the family's 1533-position model. The record is from RNAcentral.
AUUGAACGCUGGCGGCAUGCCUUACACAUGCAAGUCGAACGGUAACAGGUCUUCGGAUGCUGACGAGUGGCGAACGGGUGAGUAAUACAUCGGAACGUGCCCGAUCGUGGGGGAUAACGAGGCGAAAGCUUUGCUAAUACCGCAUACGAUCUACGGAUGAAAGCGGGGGAUCUUCGGACCUCGCGCGGACGGAGCGGCCGAUGGCAGAUUAGGUAGUUGGUGGGAUAAAAGCUUACCAAGCCGACGAUCUGUAGCUGGUCUGAGAGGAUGAUCAGCCACACUGGGACUGAGACACGGCCCAGACUCCUACGGGAGGCAGCAGUGGGGAAUUUUGGACAAUGGGCGAAAGCCUGAUCCAGCCAUGCCGCGUGCAGGAUGAAGGCCUUCGGGUUGUAAACUGCUUUUGUACGGAACGAAAAGCCUCUUUCUAAUAAAGAGAGGUCAUGACGGUACCGUAAGAAUAAGCACCGGCCAACUACGUG